RNAcentral lists this ribosomal RNA (117 nucleotides) under Candidatus Latescibacterota bacterium. Lineage: Bacteria; Pseudomonadati; Candidatus Latescibacterota. The record is from RNAcentral.
CCUGGUGGCCAUAGCGGAGGGGUCACACCUCUUCCCAUUCCGAACAGAGAAGUUAAGCCCUCCAGCGCCGAUGGUACUGCUUGGGUGACCUUGUGGGAGAGUAGGUCGCCGCCGGGA